UACGGAGGAUGCGAGCGUUAUCCGGAUUUAUUGGGUUUAAAGGGUGCGUAGGCGGCCGUAGUAAGUCAGCGGUGUAAAUUUUGCAGCUUAACUGUAACAGUGCCGUUGAUACGUGCAUGGCUAGGAUUUGGUUGCUGUGGGUGGAAUGUGUGGUGUAGCGGUGAAAUGCUUAGAUAUCACACAGAAUACCAAUUGCGAAGGCAGCUCACAAAGCCAAGAUUGACGCUGAGGCACGAAAGGUGUGGGGAUCAAACA
Molecule: ribosomal RNA, 255 nt
Filed under: uncultured prokaryote
Description: partial 16S ribosomal RNA
Rfam family: Bacterial small subunit ribosomal RNA
Source: RNAcentral